GACGAACGCUGGCGGCGUGCUUAACACAUGCAAGUCGAACGGUGAAGCUCCAGCUUGCUGGAGUGGAUCAGUGGCGAACGGGUGAGUAACACGUGAGCAACCUUCCCCUGACUCUGGAAUAAGCGCUUGAAACGGCGACUAAUACUGGAUACGAGAAGGAUCCGCAUGGGCACUUUCUGGAAAGUUUUUCGGUUGGGGAUGGGCUCGCGGGAUAUCAGCUUGUUGGUGAGGUAAUGGCUGACCAAGGCGACGACGGGUAGACGGCCUGAGAGGGCGACCGGGCAAAUUGGGACUGAGACACGGCCCAGACUGCUACGGGAGGCAGCAGUGGGGAAUAUUGCAUAAUGGGCGAAAGCAUGAUGCAGCGACGCCGCGUGAGGGAUGAAGGCCUUCGGGUUGUAGACCUCUUUCAGCAGGGAAGAAGCGAAAGUGACGGUACCUGAAGAAGAAGCACCGGCUAACUACGUG
This 468-nucleotide ribosomal RNA is filed under the name uncultured bacterium. RNAcentral describes it as "partial 16S ribosomal RNA". It matches the Rfam family "Bacterial small subunit ribosomal RNA", at positions 28 to 507 of the family's 1533-position model. The record is from RNAcentral.